Molecule: ribosomal RNA, 433 nt
Filed under: uncultured bacterium
Lineage: Bacteria
Description: partial 16S ribosomal RNA
Rfam family: Bacterial small subunit ribosomal RNA
Source: RNAcentral
GACGAACGCUGGCGGCAUGCCUAACACAUGCAAGUCGAACGAGACCUUCGGGUUUAGUGGCGCACGGGUGCGUAAAGCGUGGGAACCUGCCCUUAGGUUCGGAAUAACUCCCCGAAAGGGGUGCUAAUACCGGAUACUGUCUUCGGACCAAAGAUUUAUCGCCUUUGGAUGGGCCCGCGUUGGAUUAGCUAGUUGGUAGGGGACAAGCCUAACAAGGCGACGAUCCAUGGCUGGUCUGAGAGGAUGAUCAGCCACACUGGGACUGAGACACGGCCCCGUCCGGGACGGAGGGCAGCAGUGGAGAAUAUUAGGCGAGGAGGGAAAGUCUGGUCCAGCAAUGCGGCGGAAGUGAGGAAUGCCGUAGGAUACUAAAGCCCGUAGAGCAGAGACGAAAAUGACAGUACCGGGAGAAGAAGCACCGGCUAACUCCGUG